Molecule: ribosomal RNA, 253 nt
Filed under: uncultured bacterium
Lineage: Bacteria
Description: partial 16S ribosomal RNA
Rfam family: Bacterial small subunit ribosomal RNA
Source: RNAcentral
GACGUAGGGGGCAAGCGUUGUUCGGAAUUAUUGGGCGUAAAGAGCUCGUAGGCGGUCUGUCACGUCGGCUGUGAAAACCCGAGGCUCAACCUCGGGCCUGCAGUCGAUACGGGCAGACUAGAGUUCGGUAGGGGAGACUGGAAUUCCUGGUGUAGCGGUGAAAUGCGCAGAUAUCAGGAGGAACACCGGUGGCGAAGGCGGGUCUCUGGGCCGAAACUGACGCUGAGGAGCGAAAGCGUGGGGAGCGAACAGG